RNAcentral lists this small RNA (117 nucleotides) under Marmota monax (woodchuck). Lineage: Eukaryota; Metazoa; Chordata; Mammalia; Rodentia; Sciuridae. The record is from RNAcentral.
GCCAAGCAUGGUGGCACAUGCCUAUAGUACCAGUGACUCAGGAAGCUGAGGCAGGAGGAUCACUGGAGUCCAGGAAUUCUAGAUCAGCCUGGGCAACAUGGUGAGACCCCAUCCCAA